AGAAGAAAAAAAGACAGGCGGCUGUUAUUCUCCUGCUACAAAGGGCGAUGGAGUAUCUGUACUACUCAUGUGGAUGGAAAAGAAGACGCUUCGCAAUCUGUCGCUGACAUCUACUGAAACUGCUCGAUUCGGAGGCGUUGGAUAUCUUUAUUCUGCGAGAAUUUUCCACAGGAAUCGUUAGGAAUCCACAGGUCUUUUGUUUGCACGUUUUAUUCACGAGAAUCGCCAUGGAAGAAGAGCGCGCGCGUUUAGUUUGAGUUACUGCUCGUGUUAUUUACAGAUAGACCGGAUGUUUCUGCCUCGGAAGGCUCAAUCUGAGACGCCGCCCUGUUAUUAGAACUCCGAGCAUGGCUACUCGCCUGAGGCUUGUGCUGCGUUUGCUAUUGCUGUACACAUUUGCUGUGCGGGAGGGCUGGCCAGUGUGUGUGGACGUGCCGUCUGACACGGAGGCCGUGGUAGACAAUUAUAUGAAGUUAACCUGCAUCUUCUGCAUGAAACGAGAGGAGAUCGCUGCAAAAACCAAAGUGGAUUGGUUCUACAUCGGUCCAGAUGACAGAAGAGUGCUUAUCUAUCAGUACGAUGGUGACCCACGGGAGCCAGAGGAUAUAGAAGAGCACUGGAGAGGUCGUCUGGUGUGGAAUGGCAGUAAGGACUUGCAGGAUGUCUCCAUUGUUAUCCAAAAGGUCACUUUAAAUGACACUGGCAAAUACGAAUGCGUGGUGUUCCGCCUCUUUGAGUUUGAUUCAUUCACGCCUUCUACUACAAAGACAAUCAAAAUCGAUCUGGAGGUGAAAGAGAAAGCGAGCCAGAACACCACAGCCCUGUAUUCAGAGAUCAUAAUGUAUGUUCUCCUGGUGUUCCUCACGUUCUGGUUGCUGGUGGAGAUGAUCUACUGCUAUAGGAAGAUCUCCAAAUCUGACGAGCAGGCGCAGGAUAAUGCGACAGACUACUUAGCGAUUCCCUCUGAAAAUAAAGAGAACCCGGGCCCUGCAGUUACGGAAUAAAAGUCUCACACCAUUUACGUUCUUCCCAUAAGGCCUGUACCCCUGAGUCUUCUCUUUACUGUUGUACAUGAAACUGGUGUUGAGUGGGUAGAAUUCAAUGAAGCUGUCAGCUGAGGACAUGUACUGAAGAGUCUUAAUAGCAAUUGGCUUAAAAUGGAGACAGGAGCCAAUCUUGUCAAAAACUCCCUAGAGCUGUUCUGAGAAACCACGAAACCUGCCAAAUGAAAUCCCUCUUGUCUUGAUCAUGUGAUUUGUGAAACAAACUCUUAACUGGUUCAUUAUGUCCCUCUGUCUCAGUGAAUUUCCACAGUGACACACAUCUAAUCUCAGACUGAUAAGGACUUGUCUCUAUUCUCAAUUUAGCCUUAGCAGAGACACAAAUACAGCAAACCAGAGCUGAAGAGCUAUCAUACUGCCUAUACACACACUUUUCUUGACCAGAUGUCAACCAGAAUUGUUGGAAUACCCACAUAACUCUUUCCCUCUUUGGUCUAUGCUAAUCUUACUCAUAGAUACAAAAAUAAGUCUGGAUUCUGAUUAGACUGGGUUUUUAUUGUCAUGUUUUCUAUAAAAUGAAUCUCAUAUUAUUUGUUGUUAUGUUUAGCUUAUAAGUCACUCAGCUUUGCCACUUUGGAAUCAAUAAUAUGUGAAACUGAGGCAGGCAAGCAGCUGUAAUGAGGUCAUACUGUGUGCAGUGUAUGCCUUUUGUGUGAUUGGAAACACGUGGUGUGGUUUGCCUUUACUGUGCAUUGGACAUUGCAGACAAUUGCAUUUAGAAUGAUUUUGUAGAUUUAUAGCAAGUCCCUGAGAUUAAGUUUGCACAAAUAUCACUAGAUUGAAUGGCCUAAUUAUUAACUUAUUCCACUGGAUGCUUGGCAGUUUGUACAGAAGCCACAUUGCAAUCUGUUGUUAUUGAUUAGUGCUUAGUAAUGUUCAAGCUCAACUGCUAUGGUGGGAUCUUUCGAAGACAAGUGUGCGUCACUGUAUACACUCAAAACACUGUCUUUAUCAUUUCUUUUAAAGAGCACCUAUUAUGGUUUUUCAAAUAUUACUUUUCAUGUAGUGUGUUAUAUAGCAGUUUGUGAAUGUAAAAAAGUCUGCAAACUUUCAAAAAUCAAAGUGCACGACAAAUGGAGUUAUUGACUCCCAAAAGAAAGAACCGAUUCUGAACACCUGAAAGGAGUCGUUAGUAAUUGCAGACUUACUUCCUGUACUAACCUACAUAAUUUGGUAACAAAAACCCCGCCUCUGGUCUUCAUUGGCUGCUCGUGAACAGCUUUGACCCGCCCUCAAACACUACACUAAGCGGUAGACCAAUCACAACAGACUGGGACAUCUGACCAAUCAGAGCAGUGUAGGCUCUCUGACAGAAGGAGUUUAGAUGAAUCCUUUAGAACGGAUCAUUGACCGAGUCGUUUUUGACACUGGGGAAAAAAAGGUAAUGCUGCAAUUUAAAUUAUGAGCAAAUUAAAGUGUUUAUUGACCUUGGAUGCAUGUAAAUGUAUUGUAUGAGACCUUUUAAACAAAAAUAGGCACAUUUAAAUCCAUAAUAGGUGCUCUUUAAUUUCUUUCUUUAAAAUUUAUAUAAACACUUGACUUUUGGCUGUACUAUGUGUUUGUAUUUCCUUUUUUUCACUGGUAUUCUGUUAUUAUGAAUUUAUACAUUUUAAUAUUUUUUUUUUUUAAUUAUUUUUAUAAAUAGGACAGUGGUGCAGGCUUCUCUUACUGUUAACUUUUGCCUUUUGUAUUAUCUGCCCUGUUAAACUGGAGCUGCUCAUCACUUAAUGUGAAAGCUUGUCAUACAUAGACUAUUAAACCAAGGCAACGCAUUCCAAAAA
Myxocyprinus asiaticus (Chinese sucker) is the source of this 2842-nucleotide RNA transcript. It is a transcript of the gene named sodium channel subunit beta-3-like, with no coding region annotated. The record is from RefSeq and is a predicted model, not a curated record. The transcript is spliced from 8 exons. NCBI's taxonomy places the organism in Eukaryota, Metazoa, Chordata, Actinopteri, Cypriniformes, Catostomidae.